Armillaria nabsnona is the source of this 94-nucleotide non-coding RNA. NCBI's taxonomy places the organism in Eukaryota, Fungi, Basidiomycota, Agaricomycetes, Agaricales, Physalacriaceae. The record is from the annotation of a GenBank genome assembly.
GCAUCAAUGGUGUAGUGGUAACCUGGGUUGCUGCCAUGAAUAAGUUCUACAAGGUGUUUUCGACCUGGCAGGGGUUUGAUUCCCCCUUGAUGCA